UACGGAGGAUCCAAGCGUUAUCCGGAUUUAUUGGGUUUAAAGGGUGCGUAGGCGGCUUUUUAAGUCAGGGGUGAAAGACGGUGGCUCAACCAUCGCAGUGCCCUUGAUACUGAAGAGCUUGAAUGAACUAGAGGUAGGCGGAAUGUGACAAGUAGCGGUGAAAUGCAUAGAUAUGUCACAGAACACCGAUUGCGAAGGCAGCUUACUAUGGUUUAAUUGACGCUGAGGCACGAAAGCCAGGGGAGCAAACGGG
This 253-nucleotide ribosomal RNA is filed under the name uncultured bacterium. Its description in RNAcentral is "partial 16S ribosomal RNA". It matches the Rfam family "Bacterial small subunit ribosomal RNA", at positions 524 to 776 of the family's 1533-position model. The record is from RNAcentral.